CAAAAAUACGAAACACACUGUAAACAAACGAACAGACACAGACAAUUUAAAUGUUACAUACGCUGCUCUUCUACACACAGUCAAAAACAUACAAAACAGAGAACGCAGAGAGAAAAAUAGAGCAAAUUGUAUAUCAACACUGUAGCCCAAAAAAAAAACACACACAAACUCACACCAAGAUAGCAGUAAACGUAACACUAAUAGGACAAACUGAACAGUAACCGUCAUUUUGAAAAAUUGCGCCAGUGCGUAGAACGGUACACCGAAUUCCGAUUCUUUAAAGAUAAAAUUGUUUCCGGGUAGUAAUAGAACCGUGAACACCCAAUAACAUCAAUGACGAUUAAUUGUUCAAACAAACAUAUAGACGAAAAACAACAUAAAACUUCGAGUCCUUGAUAAAGGUCCAAUAAGGACCGAAACGUUGGAGAAAGAAACCAUACAGUUGUUUUAAAUUGUUAAAAAAGACUGAAAAGCCAGAAAAUUUUUCCAAAAUCAACCUUA
This 501-nucleotide long non-coding RNA is filed under the name Aedes aegypti (yellow fever mosquito). Its description in RNAcentral is "lncRNA AAEL024489". Lineage: Eukaryota; Metazoa; Arthropoda; Insecta; Diptera; Culicidae. The record is from RNAcentral.